UACGGGGGGGGCAAGCGUUGUUCGGAAUUACUGGGCGUAAAGGGCUCGUAGGUGGCCAACUAAGUCGGACGUGAAAUCCCUCGGCUUAACCGGGGAACUGCGUCCGAUACUGGUUGGCUUGAGUUUGGGAGAGGGAUGCGGAAUUCCAGGUGUAGCGGUGAAAUGCGUAGAUAUCUGGAGGAACACCGGUGGCGAAGGCGUCUUACUGGUCCGAAUCUGACGCUGAGGUGCGAAAGCUAGGGGAGCGAACGGG
This 253-nucleotide ribosomal RNA is filed under the name uncultured bacterium. RNAcentral describes it as "partial 16S ribosomal RNA". It matches the Rfam family "Bacterial small subunit ribosomal RNA", at positions 524 to 776 of the family's 1533-position model. The record is from RNAcentral.